This 468-nucleotide ribosomal RNA is filed under the name uncultured bacterium. Its description in RNAcentral is "partial 16S ribosomal RNA". It matches the Rfam family "Bacterial small subunit ribosomal RNA", at positions 28 to 507 of the family's 1533-position model. The record is from RNAcentral.
GACGAACGCUGGCGGCGUGCUUAACACAUGCAAGUCGAACGGAAAGGCCCUGCUUUUGUGGGGUGCUCGAGUGGGGAAGGGGUGAGUAACACGUGAGUAACAUGCCCUUGACUUUGGGAUAACAUCAGGAAACUGGGGCUAAUACCGGAUAGGAGCUCCUGCUGCAUGGGGGGGGUUGGAAAGUUUCGGCGGUGGGGGAUGGACUCGCGGCUUACCAGCUUGUUGGGGGGGUAGUGGAUUACCAAGGCUUUGACGGGUAGCCGGCCUGGGAGCGUGACCGGCCACAUUGGUACUGCGAGACGGCCCAGACGCCUACGUGCGGCAGCAGUGGGGAAUAUUGCACAAUGGGCGGAAGCCUGAUGCAGCAACGCCGCGUGCGGGAUGACGGCCUUCGGGUGGUAAACCGCUUUCGCCUGUGACGAAGCGUGAGUGACGGUAAUGGGUAAAGAAGCACCGGCUAACUACGUG